RNAcentral lists this long non-coding RNA (1505 nucleotides) under Ananas comosus (pineapple). RNAcentral describes it as "long non-coding RNA (ACOM_LNC033645)". Lineage: Eukaryota; Viridiplantae; Streptophyta; Magnoliopsida; Poales; Bromeliaceae. The record is from RNAcentral.
AAUGUUGUAGAAUACAACGAAUAAGUUUUUAUAUAUAAAGUUAGGCUUGAAUAGCACCAAACCAUUACUGCUAUUAGGUUUUCGACCUUUGGAUGAGAGAGCUUUUCUAGGAUUGAAUAGGUAGUUGAUUGAAUUGUAUGAUCUAACAGAUAGAAAUGAUUAAAGAGAUAAAUUUAACGAUAAAAACUUGAUAGCACAAAUGUUUGAUGCUAUUAAAAGCACCACGCCCUGAUUAUGUGUGUGUAUAUAUAUAUAGAGAGAGUAGGUCUCCCAUGCUUUCGAAAGUACGGAGGCUUCCGUGCUUGUAAGUUGUUUUCGAUGAUAGGAUAUCCGAUUCGACGAUCAGCUCCAUUAAGCAUAAUCUACCCUAUUAGAACUAUCUAGAAACCAAAUUUCAUAAUUUUUCGACAUCAUUUACCAGGCGAUCAAAGAGUCUCAAAAAUGACUAUUUUAACGGCCGAUGUGUCACGUUUUUAAGUUCAACGGUGUAGAAGUAUCCAAAUUAGAUGAAAAUUUAAUAGAAAAUUCUACUUAAUAUCAAGAGCAAGAAUAAUACUUCCGAUUUUAAAUUUGAGUCUUUUAUCACUGUUUUUAAUAAGAUUUUUAUUUUCAGUCAUUCAUUUUGAGACUACUCAUUCACUAGGCAAAUGAAGUCAAAAAAUUAUGAAAUUUGGUUUCUAGAUAGUUCUAAUAGCAUAAAUCAUGUCUAACAGAACCGAUCGCUAAAUCAGAUGCUCUAUCAUCGAGAACAACUUACAAGCACGGAGGCGCUUGUGUGUGUGUGUGUGUGUGUGUGUGUGUGUGUGUGUGUGUGUGUGUGUGUGUGUGUGUGUGUGUGUAUAUAUAUAUAUGAAUUAUACUACUAUACUAUCAAUAGUACCAAGCUCUUGGUACUAUUGAGUUUUAGGCCCUUAGACUCUAUAUGAAUUAUGCUACUAUACUAUCAAUAGUGCCAAGCCCUUGGUACUAUUGAGUUUUAGGCUGUUGGAUGAAAAGAUGUGCAGUUAGGAUGAUAGUAGUCCUCGGUUAAAUUGAUAGCGGUCCCCUAGGGUUGAGUGGGUGGUUGGUUUAAUAAUAUAAUCUAACGAGUGAAAAAUGAUCAAAUGAUAGAUCUAACGGUAGAAAACUUAAUAGUACCAAAGGCUUGGUACUAUCGAUAGCAUAGUAGCCGGACUAUAUAUAUGCAUAAUUGAGCUCCUAUGCUUUUAAAAGUACCAAGUUAUUGAUGCUUGUAGAUUUUUAGCCAUUGGAUUAAGAGAUAUGCGGUUAGGAAGAUGUGGGCCCCCUAGGGUUGAGUGGGUGGUUGGUUGAAUAGUAUAAUCUAAUAGUUGAAAAUGAUCCGAGAAGUAGAUCUAACGGUAAAAAACUUACAAGCACCAAGUGCUUAAUGGUUUUACAAGCACCAUAGCUGGACUCUCUCUCUCUCUCUCUCUCUCUCUCUCUCUCUCUCUCUCUCUCUCUCUCUCUCUCUAUAUAUAUAUAUAUAUAUAUAUAUAUAUAUAUAC